RNAcentral lists this ribosomal RNA (812 nucleotides) under uncultured Bacillota bacterium. RNAcentral's name for it is "bacterial SSU rRNA". It matches the Rfam family "Bacterial small subunit ribosomal RNA", at positions 118 to 963 of the family's 1533-position model. The record is from RNAcentral. Lineage: Bacteria; Bacillati; Bacillota.
UGGGUAAUCUACCUCUUUGUGGGGAAUAACGAUGGGAAACCGUCGCUAAUACCGCAUAAGCCUGAGAAGGGAAAGCAGCAAUGCGCUGAGAGAGGAGCCCGCGGCCGAUUAGCUAGUUGGUGAGGUAACGGCCCACCAAGGCAAAGAUCGGUAGCCGGCCUGAGAGGGCACACGGCCACACUGGCACUGAAACACGGGCCAGACUCCUACGGGAGGCAGCAGUGGGGAAUCUUGCACAAUGGGGGAAACCCUGAUGCAGCGACGCCGCGUGAGCGAUGAAGCCCUUCGGGGUGUAAAGCUCUUUCGGCAGGGAAGAUAAUGACGGUACCUGCAGAAGCAGCUGCGGCUAACUACGUGCCAGCAGCCGCGGUAAUACGUAGGCAGCAAGCGUUGUUCGGAGUUACUGGGCGUAAAGGGUGUGUAGGCGGCUUUUUAAGUUUGGUGUGAAAUCUCCCGGCCCAACCGGGAGGGUGCGCCGAAUACUGAGAGGCUAGAGUACGGGAGAGGAAAGUGGAAUUCCUGGUGUAGCGGUGAAAUGCGUAGAUAUCAGGAGGAACACCGGUGGUGUAGACGGCUUUCUGGACCGUAACUGACGCUGAGACACGAAAGCGUGGGUAGCAAACAGGAUUAGAUACCCUGGUAGUCCACGCCCUAAACGAUGCAUAUUUGGUGUGGGUCAUUCAGUUGAUCCGUGCCGGAGCUAACGCGUUAAAUAUGCCGCCUGGGGAGUACAGUCGCAAGGCUGAAACUCAAAGGAAUUGACGGGGGCCCGCACAAGCGGUGGAGCAUGUGGUUCAAUUCGACGCAACGCG